RNAcentral lists this ribosomal RNA (484 nucleotides) under uncultured bacterium. RNAcentral describes it as "partial 16S ribosomal RNA". It matches the Rfam family "Bacterial small subunit ribosomal RNA", at positions 28 to 523 of the family's 1533-position model. The record is from RNAcentral.
GACGAACGCUGGCGGCGUGCUUAACACAUGCAAGUCGAACGAUGAAGCCGGAGCUUGCUCUGGUGAAUUAGUGGCGAACGGGUGAGUAACACGUGAGUAACCUGCCCUUGACUCUGGGAUAACUGCUAGAAAUGGUAGCUAAUACCGGAUACGACCCUCGGAGGCAUCUCCAGGGGGUGGAAAGAAGUUCGGGCAAGGAUGGACUCGCGGCCUAUCAGCUAGUGGGUGGGGUAACGGAUCACCAAGGCGACGACGGGUAGCCGGCCUGAGAGGGUGACCGGCCACACUGGGACUGAGACACGGCCCAGACUCCUACGGGAGGCAGCAGUGGGGAAUAUUGCACAAUGGGCGCAAGCCUGAUGCAGCAACGCCGCGUGAGGGAUGACGGCCUUCGGGUUGUAAACCUCUUUUAGUAGGGAAGAAGCGAAAGUGACGGUACCUGCAGAAAAAGCACCGGCUAACUACGUGCCAGCCGCCGCCGUAA